This is a small nucleolar RNA of Psammomys obesus (fat sand rat), 128 nucleotides long. RefSeq annotates it as small nucleolar RNA SNORA17. NCBI's taxonomy places the organism in Eukaryota, Metazoa, Chordata, Mammalia, Rodentia, Muridae. The record is from RefSeq and is a predicted model, not a curated record. The transcript has a single exon.
CCUGCCCCUAGAGGCAGGGCCGGCGUGGCUGCUGGCUCACCCAUGCAUCAGAAGGUGUUGGAGAGGAAAGAGGCUACGCCUAUGCUCAGUGUUCUGUAAGAACGUCGAGCCUGAGAUGACCACCAGGC